GGCGUAUUUUGCGAUGGCGGAGCUCGACCGCCGGUUCAAGCCAUGAUCGCCUUCGUGGAGGAUCAUCGCGCCGAGUACGGGGUCGAGCCGAUCUGCAAGGUGCUGCCGAUCGCCCCG
Molecule: regulatory RNA element, 117 nt
Rfam family: ALIL pseudoknot
Source: Rfam